RNAcentral lists this ribosomal RNA (484 nucleotides) under uncultured bacterium. RNAcentral describes it as "partial 16S ribosomal RNA". It matches the Rfam family "Bacterial small subunit ribosomal RNA", at positions 30 to 507 of the family's 1533-position model. The record is from RNAcentral.
AUUGAACGCUGGCGGCAGGCCUAACACAUGCAAGUCGAGCGGAUUAAGUUAGCUUGCUCCUGGAUUCAGCGGCGGACGGGUGAGUAAUGCCUAGUAAUCUGCCUGUUAGUGGGGUAUAACUUCCGGAAACGUGCGCUAAUACCGCAUACGUUCUGAGGGAGUAAUUGGGGUUUCUUCGUACCUCUCGCUAUCAGAUGAGCCUAGGUCGGAUUAGCUAGUUGGUGGGGUAAAGGCCUACCAAGGCGACGAUCCGUAACUGGUCUGAGAGGAUGAUCUGUCAAACUGGAACUGGAACACGGUCAAGACUCCUACGGGAGGCAGCAGAGGGGAAUAUUGGAAAAGGGGCGAAAGCCGGAUCCAGACAGGCCGCGUGUGUGAAGAAGGUUUUCGGAUUGAAAAGCACUUUAAGUUGGGAGGAAGGGCAGUAAGGUAAUAACUUGCUGUUUUGACGUUACCAACAGAAUAAGCACCGGCUAACUUCGUG